UGGGGAAUAUUGGGCAAUGGGCGAAAGCCUUACCCAGCAACGCCGCGUGAGGGAAGAAGGUUUUCGGAUUGUAAACCUCUGUCCUGGGGGACGAAGGAAGUGACGGUACCCCGGGAGGAAGCCCCGGCUAACUACGUGCCAGCAGCCGCGGUAAUACGUAGGGGGCGAGCGUUGUCCGGAAUUAUUGGGCGUAAAGGGCGCGUAGACGGCCGAGUAAGUUAUAGGUGAAAGCCCAUCUUUCAAGGAUGGAAUUGCCUGUAAUACUGCCUGGCUUGAGUGCAGGAGAGGAGGCGGAAUUCCUAGUGUAGCGGUGAAAUGCGUAGAUAUUAGGAGGAACACCAGUGGCGAAGGCGGCUUUCUGGACUGUAACUGACGUUGAGGCGCGAAAGCGUGGGGAGCAAACAGGAUUAGAUUUACC
Molecule: ribosomal RNA, 418 nt
Filed under: uncultured bacterium
Lineage: Bacteria
Description: bacterial SSU rRNA
Rfam family: Bacterial small subunit ribosomal RNA
Source: RNAcentral